GCAAAAACAAACAGCAAGUGAAAGAAGAGCGAGGUUACAGCCCAGCUGAGUGGGAUAUCCCAGCCAGGUGGAGCUGGCUGAGUGAAGCUUCAGAAAGCUGCCACCUUGGUGAGGAACCUGUGUGCUCCUCAUCCUCAUGGACGUGGCUCCCUUUGGGUUUUGUGCCAUGGUCUGGGAGGGUUUCACACAAGGGCCUUCUGUCAGGCUAUUUUGUCAGCCCCUGUCUGGGUCCCCUUCACCUUGCAGAGUUAAGGCCAAAAGUCCAAAGGACACUUUGACUGGAAGGGAAAGCAGUCAGGAUCUUUCAGGGACAGAGGUAUCUUAUGUUACCAGCAGCUGUGCUGGUUCAUAGGCUUCAUCAAAUUCAAAACCAGGCUGGUUAGCUGUUUUGAACUCCUGAUAGCAGCAAGGCUUGAUCACAACCCCAUAUUUCUGAACGACACCUAGGCUGGGUUUGAAGAUUUAAGUGAAAGAAAUCCACUUGUUUCUCUCUGGUUUUCCAAGAGGGCCAUUCCCUUAGAGAAGUCCAGAAUCUUCUCUAGGUAGAAGUUGCAAGGCCAUAUCCAGCUGGCUUCUAUGGGCAGCAAUUAAGUAAAAAUUACCAGGGUGCUGAGUGCUCCAGUGAAGCCUUAGUGCUCUGAUGAGCCUCACCUGGGUCCCCUCCCCACCCCUCUGCUCCAUUUCAGCUCAGUCCCUCACCAUCUUCCCUUCUUUGAGCCUGGGGCUACCUGUGGGCCUUACCUGGAGGAUUCAAGUUCAGUAGUUGUGUGCUGGGACUCAAAUCCUAUCAUUCUGUACGUGAGGUGUUACCUGGUGUCUGUGCUGUUCUGAGAAGAGGAGAAAAGGCGACCUGAGUUGAUUUGUGAUAAGUGAACUCCUUUUUGUUCUCAGUUCCUAUGUAAUAUUGCAAAUGUGAAGUUUGCAAGUGACUGCAGGCCCUCCUCAAAGGAUGAGAAAAGUAUUUCUUGUGCCAUGAGGAAAACUCGCUGUGGGGCGAAGUUGCUUUUACUUGAGUCUACUGAUUGACUGGCUAAAAUAAACUGCAGGCUUCAAAGUCAGCCGUGCUGCGAAGGACCCUGAGGAAACAAGACCAACCAGAAGAGACUGAAGGAAAGCAGCCAUCUACUCCUGACUGUGAGAUCUUUGGAAAACUAACUGCCCAAAGCUCUGAAGCUUUCAGCCUUCACGCUAACGCACGGGCCCAGCUGGCUGGAGAUUAAAGAGCGCCGUCUCAAACCAAAAAGCAUUUGAAAUUGCACCACUGAGCUGGCAGGAAAUUCCAGCUUUUUGUAGAUGUAGGAGGCGUUGGAACGGCGAGGAGCCAUAAGGCAACGUUCAGAGGUGAAUCGCAGCAUCAGCACCUCGCCAGGGGAGGCUGCCCCACCCCGAGCGCUGCACUCGGGCACGGGGGAACCGUCCACAGCCUUCCCAAAACAUUGGGGAGCUCUGGGGAGGAGGAGCAGCUUGGCUGGCAGCCGAGCUCCUGCUCCAGCUGUCUUCAUCUGCAGAAGAGGCCUCGUAAGGCUCGGGGUGAAUCCCAGCGCGGGGCUCAGCGCUGGCUUUUCGCGUGUGGAGUUUCCACCACCAUCAACUCCAGCGAGUCCCGGACGUGCCAAGAGAUCCCCAGAGCAGAUUUGGAUGUCUCUGUCCUGCCCAAGAUAAACAGGCCCUUUGCUUCUCGGACUGAAGUGCUCAUCGCCUCGGAAGAUAACGCAAAUUACCGGGCUCUUAGCUGCUUGGAAAGGAGUCGGUGCAGAUUGAUCGUAGAGAUUUGCCUUGAAGAAGCACGAAUGAUAGGAGAGCGAGAGGACUGCGUGGUUUUAGGGACCUUUCUCCUUUAUUUAGUGCAUGUGUGGGGAGAGAGGGCAUGAAAUGAGGCUGUCGGUGAGCGUCGAUCCUGAAAACCAUACAGAAAAUGAGCACGGUGGCUCUUUCCCUUCCGUUCCUACACAGGCUGCCAAAGAUUAUCACGCCGGUGACAAUGCUCGGAGGCAUCUCAAGAACUCGAGGCCUCCUGCGAAGCCGUUAGCACCAAAGGGAGGUGCCCCCCUCGCCCCCCGUGCUGAGCAGAGCUGGGACCGAGCCCUGCCAAGGCGAGUGGUGCAGAGCAGAAUCCGCGCUGACGACAGAUGGAACGAAUGUUAUGGACGCAUCCCAGGGCCGGGGCUGUUGCGCCACAUAAAUCAGUAGCACAACUUUGCCAGCUCCAAAUGCUUCGCAGGGCUGGACUUUCAGCCAGCUUCACGUCUGGCUUUGCAACCCCAAAACCGUAUGGUCAAAUUGCGAAUGCGCAUGCCCUCGCGUGAACCUCCAGCCCGUGAGGCUGUUUUCGGUCUGCCUCGUGUAGAUAAACGUGGCUAAAAAAAGCCAUCACCAAAAGAUAAUUCCUUGAUCUAAAUCCCAGCAUAUUCCUGUGCUCGUGGGCUGUGGAUGCUGCAGAUGAAGUGUGAGGUUCCAGGCUGCAGAUGCUGUCGGAGCUGCGCCGGUCGCUCGAAGCAUGUCGUGCUACCAACACCAGCCAAAGGUGAUGAAAUCCCAAAUAAUCGGAGUGGCCAAAAAAUAUUUCACGUUGCUCACCCUGCCUGCGUGCUGGUGGCCGGGCUGCUUCUUCGUGGGGAGAAGCUCAUAGCACACAAACAUCGCGUGUGAAAACUCGCUCCCGUCAUGAAAGCUGCUUCCCAUACACAGCAUAAAUCCCAAGUGCUUGUGAUUUAAGACAAAAAAAAAAAAAAAAGGCAAAUAAAAAGAUUUGCUGUUAAAAUUAUGACUUGGCAGCACCGUGUAUGUGCGUGGGGGGGAAGUGCCUGCAACCUUUUUAGAGGAAUACUUGCCCUUUGGAGAAUGAACUUCCAUUAAAGUAAAAAGGCUUCGCCCUUCUAGGUGGGAUUUUGGCAGCGUGGGGCGGAGGAAGGGCCCAACCGGCCGCUCCAGCUUUCUCACUCCAUUUCAGCCGUGACAAAAUGAAA
Molecule: non-coding RNA, 2966 nt
Organism: Anas platyrhynchos (mallard)
Lineage: Eukaryota; Metazoa; Chordata; Aves; Anseriformes; Anatidae
Source: RefSeq, a predicted model, not a curated record